GUUUCUACUGUCACUUGUACACCUCCUGACAGAUGUUCCUCUACAGUGGAAGGAAACUACUGGUAUCAGUGACUAAAUACAUCACGGAGUUAUGGUACCCAGGUCUACAACUGCAUGCAGAUGGUGACAUGCUCAUAUGAGAAGCCUCAGAGGAUAGAGAAUGACGUGCAACCAGGAAUCUAGCCAGGUGCCGUGUCCCCUGUGCCUGUCUCCAUUGGCUGCAAGUUAUUGCUG
Molecule: long non-coding RNA, 234 nt
Organism: Cygnus olor (mute swan)
Lineage: Eukaryota; Metazoa; Chordata; Aves; Anseriformes; Anatidae
Exons: 3
Source: RefSeq, a predicted model, not a curated record